UGGCCUUCUGGGCAAGGUGUCUUUGCACUAAAUCCUGUCUACUCAAACAACCCUGCUGCCAUGCUCCGGAGCUGGAGAGGAAGUGAAAGUCACUUGCAAGUCGCCAGAAACAAAUACAGAGCAGACGAAGCAAACAAGCUAGCUAACUUGUUUGCAGAUAAACUGUCCUGGUAGCAGGGUCAGCAUUUUCACCAUUUUCAGAAAAUGUAGACAGAAACAAGCAUCAUUCUCAGUUCUUGGAUCUGAAUCAACUCGACCCCAAAAGAGAAAAAGAAGCACGAAAAAGACUGCUCAUGACCAAUCCAGAAACCGGAUAGACAUUGGAAUUAAUUUUGAAAGGUAGAAGAGUGUUGCCGAAAUGGCCACCAUCCUCAUGAACAGGGAGAUACUGGUGGAGACAGUCUGAUUUCGAAGGGAACCUGAGGUUGUAGAAGUUGUGGUUGUGGAAAAUUCCAAAAGAGAGUAUGUGGACCAGUGCACAGGCCACCUCUUCUUUACUCUUCACGCUCAGUAGAGGCUCCAGCACCGCACACAAAGUCCGGUAGUUAUUGGUAACAUACUCGGCAAACUCCUUGUACAGCUCCAUGGGCAGGAUGCUCAUGGUCUGGUAACGGGAUUUGAGGCGUAGGGAGGCAUUGAUGAUCUUGCCCCCUGCUUGCCCCUUGGCCAGGACGCUAGGCUGGAUGACCGGGUACCACUGCUCCACAAACUGUCGGCCCGUGAUGCUGGAGAUAGGGAUACUGACCAGUCCCAGUCUCCUUGUAGAGAUGAAGGCGUAGGUUGCGGACGGCUGGCAAGUUGUUGAACUCAAAGUGCUCGCCCCAGAACACGGUGUCAGUCCGGGGCUUGCUGGUGGUGCGUGCGUAAAGC
Molecule: long non-coding RNA, 870 nt
Organism: Oncorhynchus kisutch (coho salmon)
Lineage: Eukaryota; Metazoa; Chordata; Actinopteri; Salmoniformes; Salmonidae
Exons: 4
Source: RefSeq, a predicted model, not a curated record